Molecule: small nucleolar RNA, 108 nt
Organism: Humulus lupulus (European hop)
Lineage: Eukaryota; Viridiplantae; Streptophyta; Magnoliopsida; Rosales; Cannabaceae
Source: RefSeq, a predicted model, not a curated record
AUUCCACGAUGGGGACACUUCUUUAACAACUCCUUAAAUCGAUCCCAUGCAUUAUAUAAAGACUCCCAAGUCAUUUUGGUGGAAAUUAUUUAUUUCACCUCUCAAUUU